RNAcentral lists this unclassified non-coding RNA (956 nucleotides) under uncultured Bordetella sp. RNAcentral describes it as "partial 16S-23S ribosomal RNA intergenic spacer". It matches the Rfam family "Bacterial small subunit ribosomal RNA", at positions 472 to 1499 of the family's 1533-position model. The record is from RNAcentral. Lineage: Bacteria; Pseudomonadati; Pseudomonadota; Betaproteobacteria; Burkholderiales; Alcaligenaceae.
AACACAUCUCUCAUACACCGGCUAACCACGUGCCAGCAGCCGCGGUAAUACGUAGGGAACUGUGGAAAGAAAGAUGUGAAAUCCCAGAGCUUAACUUUGGAACUGCAUUUUUAACUACCGAGCUAGAGUGUGUCAGAGGGAGGUGGAAUUCCGCGUGUAGCAGUGAAAUGCGUAGAUAUGUGGAGGAACACCGAUGGCGAAGGCAGCCUCCUGGGAUAAACACUUCGACGCUCAUGCACGAAAAGCGUGGGGAGCAAACAGGAUUAGAUACCCUGGUAGUCCACGCCCUAAACGAUGUCAACUAGCUGUUGGGGCCUUCGGGCCUGGUAGCGCAGCUAACGCGUGAAGUUGACCGCCUGGGGAGAGUACGGUCGCAAGAUUAAAACUCAAAGGAAUUGACGGGGACCCGCACAAGCGGUGGAUGAUGUGGAUUAAUUCGAUGCAACGCGAAAACCUUUACCUACCCUUGACAUGUCUGAAUCCCUGAAGAGAUUUGGGAGUGCUCGCAAGAGAAUACAUCAGCUCGUGUCGUGAGAUGUUGGGUUAAGUCCUGCAACGAGCGGCAACCUUGGCCACGGUUGCUACGAAAGGGCACUCUAAUGAGACUGCCGGUGACAAACCGGAGGAAGGUGGGGACGACGUCAAGUCCUCAUGGCCCUUAUGGGUAGGAUUCGGCCACGUCAUACAAUGGUCGGGACAGAGGGUCGCCAACCCGCGAGGGGGAGCCAAUCCCAGAAACCCGAUCGUAGUCCGGAUCGCAGUCUGCAACCUGACCGCGGAAGUCGGGAAUCGCUAGUAAUCGCGGAUCAGCAUGUCGCGGUGAAUACGUUCCCGGGUCUUGUACACACCGCCCGUCACACCAUGGGAGUGGGUUUUAACAGAAGUAGUUAGCCUAACCGUAAGGAGGGCGAUUACCACGGUAGGAUUCAUGACUGGGUGAAGUCGUAACAAGGUAG